UGGGGAAUAUUGCACAAUGGAGGAAACUCUGAUGCAGCGACGCCGCGUGAGCGAUGAAGUAUUUCGGUAUGUAAAGCUCUAUCAGCAGGGAAGAUAAUGACGGUACCUGAGUAAGAAGCUCCGGCUAAAUACGUGCCAGCAGCCGCGGUAAUACGUAUGGAGCAAGCGUUAUCCGGAUUUACUGGGUGUAAAGGGAGCGUAGACGGCGUAUCAAGUCUGAUGUGAAAGGCGUGGGCUCAACCCGUGGACUGCAUUGGAAACUGGUAUGCUUGAGUGCCGGAGGGGUAAGCGGAAUUCCUAGUGUAGCGGUGAAAUGCGUAGAUAUUAGGAGGAACACCAGUGGCGAAGGCGGCUUACUGGACGGUAACUGACGUUGAGGCUCGAAAGCGUGGGGAGCAAACAGGAUUAGAUACCCUGGUAGU
RNAcentral lists this ribosomal RNA (422 nucleotides) under uncultured Lachnospiraceae bacterium. RNAcentral's name for it is "bacterial SSU rRNA". It matches the Rfam family "Bacterial small subunit ribosomal RNA", at positions 355 to 794 of the family's 1533-position model. Lineage: Bacteria; Bacillati; Bacillota; Clostridia; Lachnospirales; Lachnospiraceae. The record is from RNAcentral.